CACCAAUGCGGGUGCUUACCAUGACAGUCGAGCGGUAAGGCCCCUUCGGGGGUACACGAGCGGCGAACGGGUGAGUAACACGUGAGUAACCUGCCCCUGACUCUGGGAUAAGCCCGGGAAACCGGGUCUAAUACCGGAUACGACGCCUCAUCGCAUGGUGGGGUGUGGAAAGGGUUUGACUGGUUGGGGAUGGGCUCGCGGCCUAUCAGCUUGUUGGUGGGGUGAUGGCCUACCAAGGCGGUGACGGGUAGCCGGCCUGAGAGGGCGACCGGCCACACUGGGACUGAGACACGGCCCAGACUCCUGCGGGAGGCAGCAGUGGGGAAUAUUGCGCAAUGGGCGGAAGCCUGACGCAGCGACGCCGCGUGGGGGAUGACGGCCUUCGGGUUGUAAACCUCUUUUACCACCGACGUAGGCCCUGGGUGUUCUUGGGGUUGACGGUAGGUGGGGAAUAAGGACCGGCUAACUACGUGCCAGCAGCCGCGGUAAUACGUAGGGUCCGAGCGUUGUCCGGAAUUAUUGGGCGUAAAGAGCUCGUAGGCGGCGUGUCGCGUCUGCUGUGAAAGCCCGGGGCUUAACUCCGGGUGGGCAGUGGAUACGGGCAUGCUUGAGGUAGGUAGGGGAGACUGGAAUUCCUGGUGUAGCGGUGAAAUGCGCAGAUAUCAGGAGGAACACCGGUGGCGAAGGCGGGUCUCUGGGCCUUACCUGACGCUGAGGAGCGAAAGCGUGGGGAGCGAACAGGAUUAGAUACCCUGGUAGUCCACGCUGUAAACGUUGGGCGCUAGGUGUGGGGACUUUCCACGGUUUCCGUGCCGUAGCUAACGCAUUAAGCGCCCCGCCUGGGGAGUACGGCCGCAAGGCUAAAACUCAAAGGAAUUGACGGGGGCCCGCACAAGCGGCGGAGCAUGUUGCUUAAUUCGACGCAACGCGAAGAACCUUACCAAGGUUUGACAUCACCGGUAAUCCCGCAGAGAUGUGGGGUCCUUCGGGGAUCGGUGAC
Molecule: ribosomal RNA, 1000 nt
Filed under: Thermobifida sp. ZZY-2013
Lineage: Bacteria; Bacillati; Actinomycetota; Actinomycetes; Streptosporangiales; Nocardiopsidaceae
Description: bacterial SSU rRNA
Rfam family: Bacterial small subunit ribosomal RNA
Source: RNAcentral